UCUUUUUCUCUCCCCAUUCUCUCUUCUCCAUUCAGUAUAUUAUAAGCUAUCUUAGCUUGCACAUUAAAUUAAAUGAUGUUUCGUCACCUACUCCUCCUCUCGUCAGUUCUUUCAUGUGGAAUUGGAACUGGGCACCAAAAAAGUCAUAUUCUAAACCCGAAUUCAACGAUCUAACAAUCUGCUUUAGCUAUAGAAUUAACUGCCGUCCCCCAUCAUCAAAGCGCACAUAAAUUCUAACACUUUCUUACCUGACACAGUUGUCAAAAACAUCCCAUUUUCUAGCACUAUGCUCCCUGAGAUUCUAUCCCAUUUCAAGUUCGAGGCUAACUCAACCGAUGCUAAGACUGUGAAACAAACACUUUAUCUCUGUGAGAGUCCUUCCUUGAAUGGAGAACAUCUUUAGAGUCACUGGUAAAAUUCGCAAUUAAGGCUAGUUUCAACUGAGUUUGAAAAGGAGCCACAGAACGAGCUACACUACAAUUUGGUAGAGGGAGUGAAGAAAAUUGGAGACAAGGUUGUAGUGUGCCACAAAUUGAAGUACCCUUAUGCAGUGUUUUAUUGCCACAAAAUAGAGACAAGGGCCUAUACUGUUUCAUUGAAGACUAAUGACGGGUCAAAAGCAAAAGCAUUAGCAGUUUGCCACACCAAUACUAAAGAGUGGAAUGCUGAACAUGUUGCUUUCGAAGAGCUUAAUGUGAAUCCUGGUUCUGUUCAUAUUUGUCAUUUUCUUCCCACAGAUACCCUUCUUUGGAUACCCAAUUAGUAUUGUGUAGUAGUAGUUUCAUAAAACAAUGCCAAUUAUGUACCUUCUUCCUAAGUGAAAUUCUCUUGAUUUCCCUUGUGUUGCAUACUUGCAUGUAAUAAAACAGAAUGUGUUUGUUGGUGGA
This is a non-coding RNA of Arachis ipaensis, 887 nucleotides long. The record is from RefSeq and is a predicted model, not a curated record. NCBI's taxonomy places the organism in Eukaryota, Viridiplantae, Streptophyta, Magnoliopsida, Fabales, Fabaceae.